AAGCUCGUAGUUGAAUUUCGGGAUUGACGUAAUGGUCAUGCCUUAAGGGGUAUGAACUGUUACUGUUGAUUUCUCACCUUCUGGAGAAACUUGAUGUCCUUUAUUGGGUGUCUUGCGGAUCCAGGACCUUUACCUUGAAAAAAAUUAGAGUGUUUAAAGCAGGCAUUUUUGCUCGAAUACAUUAGCAUGGAAUAAUAGAAUAGGACGGCAUUUGGUUCUAUUUUGUUGGUUUCUAGGAUCACCGUAAUGAUUAAUAGGGAUAGUUGGG
RNAcentral lists this ribosomal RNA (268 nucleotides) under uncultured Glomus. RNAcentral describes it as "partial 18S ribosomal RNA". It matches the Rfam family "Eukaryotic small subunit ribosomal RNA", at positions 624 to 886 of the family's 1831-position model. The record is from RNAcentral. Lineage: Eukaryota; Fungi; Glomeromycota; Glomeromycetes; Glomerales; Glomeraceae.